Molecule: ribosomal RNA, 83 nt
Filed under: Neobacillus niacini
Lineage: Bacteria; Bacillati; Bacillota; Bacilli; Caryophanales; Bacillaceae
Description: Bacillus niacini partial 23S ribosomal RNA
Source: RNAcentral
UGAUCAGGUUGAUAGGUCAGAGGUGGAAGCGUGGUAACAUGUGGAGCUGACUGAUACUAAUCGUUCGAGGACUUAACCAAUUU